Molecule: ribosomal RNA, 497 nt
Filed under: uncultured bacterium
Lineage: Bacteria
Description: partial 16S ribosomal RNA
Rfam family: Bacterial small subunit ribosomal RNA
Source: RNAcentral
GAUGAACGCUGGCGGCGUGCCUAAUACAUGCAAGUCGAGCGAACAGACGAGGAGCUUGCUCCUUUGACGUUAGCGGCGGACGGGUGAGUAACACGUGGGUAACCUACCUAUAAGACUGGGAUAACUUCGGGAAACCGGAGCUAAUACCGGAUAAUAUUUCGAACCGCAUGGUUCGAUAGUGAAAGAUGGCUUUGCUAUCACUUAUAGAUGGACCUGCGCCGUAUUAGCUAGUUGGUAAGGUAACGGCUUACCAAGGCAACGAUACGUAGCCGACCUGAGAGGCUGAUCGGCCACACUGGAACUGGGCCACGGUCCAGACUCCUACGGGAGGCAGCAGUAGGGAAUCUUCCGCAAUAGGCGAAAGCCUGACGGAGCAACGCCGCGUGAGUGAUGAAGGUCUUCGGAUCGUAAAACUCUGUUAUUAGGGAAGAACAAACGUGUAAGUAACUGUGCACGUCUUGACGGUACCUAAUCAGAAAGCCACGGCUAACUACGUG